RNAcentral lists this ribosomal RNA (253 nucleotides) under uncultured bacterium. RNAcentral's name for it is "partial 16S ribosomal RNA". It matches the Rfam family "Bacterial small subunit ribosomal RNA", at positions 524 to 776 of the family's 1533-position model. The record is from RNAcentral.
UACGUAGGUGGCAAGCGUUGUCCGGAAUUAUUGGGCGUAAAGCGCGCGCAGGCGGUCCUUUAAGUCUGAUGUGAAAGCCCACGGCUCAACCGUGGAGGGUCAUUGGAAACUGGGGGACUUGAGUACAGAAGAGAAGAGUGGAAUUCCACGUGUAGCGGUGAAAUGCGUAGAGAUGUGGAGGAACACCAGUGGCGAAGGCGGCAUCCUGGACCGACACUGACACUGAGGAGCGAAAGCCAGGGGAGCAAACGGG